This 338-nucleotide unclassified non-coding RNA is filed under the name soil metagenome. RNAcentral's name for it is "partial contains 5.8S ribosomal RNA, internal transcribed spacer 2, and large subunit ribosomal RNA". The stretch from base 1 to 120 matches the Rfam family "5.8S ribosomal RNA", at positions 35 to 154 of the family's 154-position model. The record is from RNAcentral.
GAUGAAGAACGUAGCGAAAUGCGAUAAGUAAUGUGAAUUGCAGAAUUCCGUGAAUCAUCGAAUCUUUGAACGCAUAUUGCGCCCUCUGGCAUUCCGGUGGGCAUGCCUGUCCGAGCGUCAUUACUAUCUUCAAGCACAGCUUGGUUGUUGAGCCAAAUUGUCCUCUAAUGGACAGGCUUGAAAUGCAGCGGCGAUGCCAUGUUUGGUGCCCGAGUGUAUGGGGCUUUGUCACACACUUUUGUGGCCAAGCUGGCGUUAGUCUUGACCGUUAAACUAAGAUUUGACCUCGGAUCAGGUAGGGAUACCCGCUGAACUUAAGCAUAUCAAUAAGCGGAGGA